GGCGAACUGGUGGAUAGCUCGGCUCGAGAGUCGAAGAAGGCCGUAGCAGAUUGCGGAAAGCAGGCAGAAGGUGCGUGUCUGAGGUGGACAGCAGAAGCCUGGUGGCCGAACGACGAAGUUACCUGCGGGUUUGCCGUGGGUGCGUCAGGGAGUGUUCCUGAGGGAGACUGCCUGGCGGGAGUACCCUCCGAACUUAAGCAUAUUAGUAGGAGGAGGAGCCGGAAGCAAAAGCGAUUGUCUUAGUAGCGGCGAGCGAAGAGACGAAUUCCCGACCUGAAUCCGGAGACGGAGCUGUGGGUAGGCGUAAGUGUUGUGGACGUCUCGUAGUUCUUUAGGAAGAAGGACGGGCGAGUGAGAGGCUCGCAGACGAGACUUAAACGACGCGGGCCGGACGAGUAGCAGUGGUUGGUAGUUCACUGUGAAGCGGGAGGUGCUGACCUCCCAAGGAAACGGACGGUCUCGAGACCGAUAGCGAAGAAGUACCGCGAGGGAAAGCGGAGCCCUGUGGAAGGGGCGGCAGUGUGAAACCAGUUGGCUGGUAGUCUCCUUGUGGCUGGUUCUUCGGAAAGCUGCGACAAGGAGUGCCCGUCUUGAAUCACGGACCAAGGAUUGUAAUGGCUGGGCAAGUCUGUGCGCAAACAAGCGCGCGGGCGCAGGGAACCCGAAACAUAUCAAGGUUACUUCCAUGUUUGCAUGGGAGGGGAGCUCAGACAGUACUACCCGAUGGCGGACGAACUAUACAGGGACAGGACGAAGCCUCUGGAAACGGUGGUGGAGGUCCGUAGCAAUGCUGGCCCGCAAACCGCUUGUGCGAUUCCUGUAUAGAGGCGAAAGACCAAUCGAGUCCGCUAGUGGCUGGUUCCCUCCGAAAGAUCUUUAAGGAUCGCCGCCUGAAGUAUUAUGUGUGUCCGAGUGCGUAUGUCACCGAUGGGGCGAGAGUGGGUUUCGAUCUGCACGCAACGUCGAAACAGGAAGUGCGCGGAAGGACGAAGGCGAGUGGGCGUGGCCUGGUAAGCAGGCAGCGCAAAGUGGAAUGAACCACACGAGCGUCGAAGGUGCCUAAGGACACCCGAAAAGGAAGGGCGCGGACUUGUUGGGACAGCUGGGCGGUGACCUUAACAGUAGGUAUCCGCUAAGGAGUGUGUUGCAACUCACCAGCCGAACAAGUGCGGCCCGAAGAUGGAUGGCUGUAGUGGUGUCCACCGGAGGCGCUCUCUUCCGAGAGGAAGAGGUAGGAGGGCGGCGCGCCUGCGCAGAAGCCGGGACGAAAGUCUGGGUGGAGCGGGUGCGCGUGCAGAUCUUGGUGCAAGUAGUACUUUUCGAGUUGGAAGCUCGAGUGCCGAAGAGGACUAGGUUUGGGCGGGUUCUGAAGAAGAACGCCUUGUGAGUCGGUCCUAACCUCCUUGUGUGGAGCUUGGAGGGAAAGGGAAGCAGGCGGAAAUUCCUGCACGACGCGUGCGAACCGGAAGGAGGGUCGUUCCAUGCGCGGCUCAAAUGGACAGCGGGGUUUUCGUUCCCGUUUAAGUCGGGUGCAGCAGAAAGCGUUGGGCUGUGAGGCUGCUGCGCAGACGAAGAGGUUCUCUCUGGCGACAGAGCACGGAACUUGUCCAGACGAGAAGCGCGGUGAAAAAUGGGACGACGGAGCGCGCGUCACCGUACCGAAAACCGCAUCAGGUGUCCUAGGCGAGAAGCCUUUGGCAGACGGGACAAAGUGCGUUAGGGAAUUCGGCAAAAUAGACCUGUAACUUCGGGAGAAGGGUUGCCUCCCUCUGUGAGGGAAGCGGAUACAGGGCGGUCCGACAGUUUAAUAAAGACCUAACGAUGGGAAGCUGUUGCUGUGGACCUAUCGUGACUUCUGCUCAGUGCCGAGUUCUUAAUGCGGCGCAAGUCGCGCAAGGUGCGGUCAACAGCGGGUCUAUUCCUGAGACUCUUAAGGUAGCGACCCCUCGUCAUUUGAUUGGUGACCUGCAUGAGUGGAGUAACGAGACCGCCGCUGUCCCGACGCACGUCCCGGCGAACGCACAACUGGGGGAACGGGCCCAGAGGAAACAGCGGGUAGAGAAGACCCCGUUGAGCUCCGCCUUAGCCUGCGGUUCUGCUGCUGUCACUGUGGCGGAGGUAGUGGGGAGGYUUUGCCGACGGUGAGAAACCCACACACAGUCGGCAGCAGCAGUCACCAGAAGGGACAGCCGCAGGUGAGAGGCUCGGCUGGGGCGGCACGCCUACGAGAACACAGCGUAGGCGCCCAACGAUCUGCUCAGUGAGGCUAGAAACCUCGCGUAGAGUGUAAGGGCAAAAGCGGGUCUGAGCCCGACGCGGAGCAUGCGUCGGGCGCGCGAAAGCGUGGCCUAGCGAUCCUCGACGAGUCAGUCGGCGACGGUCGAGGUGUCGGAAAAGUUACCGCGGGGAUAACUGGCUUGUGGCGCUUGAGAGUUCAUAUCGACGGCGCUUUUUGAUUCUUCGAUGUUGGCUCUUCCCAUCCUCGGCUCGCAUGAGAGUCGAAGGGUUUGAUUGUUCACCAGUUAAUGGGGAUCGUGAGCUGAGUUUAGUCCGUCGCGAGACAGGACUGUUUCACCCUACUGUUUCGGGACUGGACGGUCGGAGCACUCUAGUACGCAAGGAGCGAGUGGUCGGCGCCUCUUGUGUUUCCUGCGGACGAGGGUCUGCGGGAGUAGCUACGCGCCGGGGACAGCAGCUGAGAGCGUCUCAAGCUGUAAGCCCUUCCGGAAGGUCGCGCUCGUUGUUGGCAAGUUGGGCUGUGAUGACAGUCGACAGCAACGGGCACCAUCGGUUACACCAGCCGAACGGGUAGGAGAACUGUACGUGACGAGCAGUUGAGCGAGUCAUUGAGGUAACUCCGAACUCAUUUUUUUAGGUUUGU
This 2881-nucleotide ribosomal RNA is filed under the name Paramikrocytos canceri. RNAcentral describes it as "partial 28S ribosomal RNA". The record is from RNAcentral. Lineage: Eukaryota; Endomyxa; Ascetosporea; Mikrocytida; Mikrocytiidae.